Molecule: unclassified non-coding RNA, 1186 nt
Filed under: Hevea brasiliensis (rubber tree)
Lineage: Eukaryota; Viridiplantae; Streptophyta; Magnoliopsida; Malpighiales; Euphorbiaceae
Source: RNAcentral
AAGUUUCUGAAUUUAUUGUCUAAAAGAUUUAUGUUUUCUGUGACAUCUUUCAGUAAUGUAGAGAUCCUGCGAGUAUGACAAAUCAAUAUUCUUAAAAUAAUCUAAACCUUAAUGCUACUCCCUCCAGCUAGCUUCCCAUAUGGUCUUCUAGAUGAAGUGAUAUAAACAAGACUUGCUGAAUAAAGAAUCUUGUCAUCCAUACGAUCAAUCGGAGAGUGAAUGGAAUCUGAAAAUGCAGCUAUGAAAAAGUUACCAACCUAGAAGAGCAAUAUUAGUCCAUCAAUUGGACUUGGCAGCCAUCUCCUUUCUAGCUUUUCUUGCAUUCUCAUACUCAAAUUCCAACACAUUUUGUAUAUGCGAAGUAUCUUUCACAUAAAACAUCCUCCCGAAACUACUCUCCUCAAUCACAGGGAAAAAAUUAAAAAGCUUGUAAUUCACCACCCAAAACCAUGCUGCUCCCAGAAAAAUACCCAAAGUAGCACCAGCAAACACCUGCGGCACCGUAUGGUAUCCCAAGUACACCCUCGAUUGCAUGGUCAAAACCGCCAAUAACCACGGCAGGAAACACCUCGCCCACUUGUGAUUAACUUUGGUUAACCCAAUUCCUUUAAAGGUCAAUAGAGUAAAGUAGACGGCAAAGAAGAACAUGUACUGAGAGUGACUGGAUGGCCAGCCGUGCGAAUCGCACAUCUCGAGAAAGAUGCAGGUCUCGGGGCGGGCUUGCUGGACCAAUGUCUUGAUGAAGUCGCUGAUGAAAUGGGAAAUGAGGAGGCCAAGAGCGAAGAACAUGCCCUGGAGUUCGCGACGGAAGAAGAAAUGGCAAAUGAAUCCACCUAAACUUAUGAAGACCGGGACUAGCGAGAUCCAAGCUAAUAAAUGGCCUAAGUGGUCGCCCUUUUGGUACCGGACGUGGGUGAGAGUGACGGCCUUGAGUGGAGGAUGGGCCAUGGUGAUAUUGAUAAUUCUGGGUGUGGAGAAUGGCGAGAGAUCUGUGAGAUGUGGUGGUGUUUGGGUUUCGUGUUCUGUGAUUGUCCUCGAUAAUCCGUCGACGUAGAAAGUUACAUAAGGAUAAGGAUGAAGAAAAGCGAGGCCUAGGAACUAGGGAGGGAUGAGGAGCAGCCAGCAGAGGGGGGGGGGACGCAGGUUUGGGGCUUGUACAUAUAUAUUGAACCAUCGAGCAAGGGUG